UACGUAGGGUGCAAGCGUUGUCCGGAAUUAUUGGGCGUAAAGAGCUUGUAGGCGGUUUGUCGCGUCUGCUGUGAAUUUCGGGGCUCAACCCCGAACUUGCAGUGGGUACGGGCAGGCUAGAGUGUGGUAGGGGAGACGUGGAAUUCCUGGUGUAGCGGUGAAAUGCGCAGAUAUCAGGAGGAACACCGGUGGCGAAGGCGGGUCUCUGGGCCGUAACUGACGCUGAGGAGCGAAAGCAUGGGGAGCGAACAGG
RNAcentral lists this ribosomal RNA (253 nucleotides) under uncultured bacterium. RNAcentral's name for it is "partial 16S ribosomal RNA". It matches the Rfam family "Bacterial small subunit ribosomal RNA", at positions 524 to 776 of the family's 1533-position model. The record is from RNAcentral.